This 468-nucleotide ribosomal RNA is filed under the name uncultured bacterium. Its description in RNAcentral is "partial 16S ribosomal RNA". It matches the Rfam family "Bacterial small subunit ribosomal RNA", at positions 28 to 507 of the family's 1533-position model. The record is from RNAcentral.
GAUGAACGCUGGCGGCGUGCCUAAUACAUGCAAGUCGAGCGGACAGACGCUACGUUUGCUGGUCUGUCGUUUGCCGAACGCGUGAGUAAAACGCGUGUAACCCGCCCUUAACUUUGGGGUAACACCUGGGGAAUGGGGCGAAAAUCCCAUAUGAUCUUCUGCUGCGCGGUGUUGGAUGGAAAAAGUCGGUGUUUGGGGAUCGUCUGGCGGGUUAUCAGCUUCAUUGUCAGGUAGUGGCUUACCAGGGUUUUGACGGGUAGGCGGCCUGAGAGGGUGGACGGGCACAUUGGGACUGAGGUACGGCCCAGAAGCCUACGGGAGGCAACAGUGGGGAAUAUUGCACAAUGGGCGGAAGCGUGAUGCAGCAACGUCGCGUGCGGGAUGACGGCCUUCGGGUUGUAAACAGAUUUGGACUGUGACGAAGCGUGAGUGACGGUAAUGGGUAAAGAAGCAACGGCUAACUACGUG